GAUUGAGAUCCGGCAUCGAAAACCAAGCCGCUAACCUCGUCUGCAAAGAAAACGGCGUUUUAUCUAUAACUUAAAAGAUCAAAGUUCCCAUACCUCCUCCAUAAACUGCUCCACUCAUAUCUUGAUCUGAAAAAUUUAUAAAAGUUAUAAAUAAAACCGAGAGAAAAAACAAAAACAACAAUAAACGCCGAGGGAAGAAAAAUAUCAGUUUAAAUUUUA
Molecule: non-coding RNA, 219 nt
Organism: Caenorhabditis elegans
Lineage: Eukaryota; Metazoa; Nematoda; Chromadorea; Rhabditida; Rhabditidae
Source: Ensembl